Molecule: ribosomal RNA, 245 nt
Filed under: uncultured bacterium
Lineage: Bacteria
Description: partial 16S ribosomal RNA
Rfam family: Bacterial small subunit ribosomal RNA
Source: RNAcentral
GACAGAGGGUGCAAGCGUUGUUCGGAAUUACUGGGCGUAAAGCGCGCGUAGGCGGCUUUUUAAGUCGGGUGUGAAAUCCCAUGGCCUAACCAUGGAAGUGCAUUCGAUACUGGAAGGCUUGAGUCCUGGAGAGGGUGGUGGAAUUCCCAGUGUAGAGGUGAAAUUCGUAGAUAUUGGGAGGAACACCGGUGGCGAAGGCGACCACCUGGACAGAGACUGACGCUGAGGUGCGAAAGCGUGGGUAG